Non-coding RNA from Brassica rapa (field mustard), 150 nucleotides. The record is from RefSeq and is marked provisional. NCBI's taxonomy places the organism in Eukaryota, Viridiplantae, Streptophyta, Magnoliopsida, Brassicales, Brassicaceae.
UUCUCUUAGAGCAUGAUUAAUGCGGAUAUCUUAGGAUGAGGUUCUUAGUGUAAUAUAAAAAACAUUUAUUACUUAAAAGCUUAAAGAAUCUUUUAUAGUACGUUAAAAACCUCAUCGUAAGAGAUCUGCAUUAAUCAUAUUCUUAGAUCC